Molecule: ribosomal RNA, 1910 nt
Filed under: Serratia marcescens
Lineage: Bacteria; Pseudomonadati; Pseudomonadota; Gammaproteobacteria; Enterobacterales; Yersiniaceae
Description: partial 23S ribosomal RNA
Rfam family: Bacterial large subunit ribosomal RNA
Source: RNAcentral
GGGUUGUGAGGUUAAGUGACUAAGCGUACACGGUGGAUGCCUAGGCAGUCAGAGGCGAUGAAGGGCGUGCUAAUCUGCGAAAAGCGUCGGUAAGGUGAUAUGAACCGUUAUAACCGGCGAUACCCGAAUGGGGAAACCCAGUGUGUUUCGACACACUAUCAUGUCAUGAAUACAUAGUGGCAUGAGGCGAACCGGGGGAACUGAAACAUCUAAGUACCCCGAGGAAAAGAAAUCAACCGAGAUUCCCCCAGUAGCGGCGAGCGAACGGGGAGGAGCCCAGAACCUGAAUCGGCUUGUGUGUUAGUGGAAGCGUCUGGAAAGUCGCGCAGCAAAGGGUGAUAGCCCCGUACACUAAAAUGCACAGGUCGUGAGUUCGAUGAGUAGGGCGGGACACGUGACAUCCUGUCUGAAUAUGGGGGGACCAUCCUCCAAGGCUAAAUACUCCUGACUGACCGAUAGUGAACCAGUACCGUGAGGGAAAGGCGAAAAGAACCCCGGCGAGGGGAGUGAAAUAGAACCUGAAACCGUGUACGUACAAGCAGUGGGAGCACCUUCGUGGUGUGACUGCGUACCUUUUGUAUAAUGGGUCAGCGACUUAUAUUUUGUAGCAAGGUUAACCGUAUAGGGGAGCCGUAGGGAAACCGAGUCUUAACUGGGCGAAUAGUUGCAAGGUAUAGACCCGAAACCCGGUGAUCUAGCCAUGGGCAGGUUGAAGGUUGGGUAACACUAACUGGAGGACCGAACCGACUAAUGUUGAAAAAUUAGCGGAUGACUUGUGGCUGGGGGUGAAAGGCCAAUCAAACCGGGAGAUAGCUGGUUCUCCCCGAAAGCUAUUUAGGUAGCGCCUCGUGAACUCAUCUUCGGGGGUAGAGCACUGUUUCGGCUAGGGGGCCAUCCCGGCUUACCAAACCGAUGCAAACUCCGAAUACCGAAGAAUGUUAUCACGGGAGACACACGGCGGGUGCUAACGUCCGUCGUGAAGAGGGAAACAACCCAGACCGCCAGCUAAGGUCCCAAAGUCAUGGUUAAGUGGGAAACGAUGUGGGAAGGCAUAGACAGCCAGGAUGUUGGCUUAGAAGCAGCCAUCAUUUAAAGAAAGCGUAAUAGCUCACUGGUCGAGUCGGCCUGCGCGGAAGAUGUAACGGGGCUAAACCAUGCACCGAAGCUGCGGCAGCGACGCUUAGCGUUGUUGGGUAGGGGAGCGUUCUGUAAGCCGUUGAAGGUGGCCUGUGAGGGUUGCUGGAGGUAUCAGAAGUGCGAAUGCUGACAUAAGUAACGAUAAAGCGGGUGAAAAGCCCGCUCGCCGGAAGACCAAGGGUUCCUGUCCAACGUUAAUCGGGGCAGGGUGAGUCGACCCCUAAGGCGAGGCUGAAAAGCGUAGUCGAUGGGAAACAGGUUAAUAUUCCUGUACUUGGUGUUACUGCGAAGGGGGGACGGAGAAGGCUAGGCUAGCCGGGCGACGGUUGUCCCGGUUUAAGCGUGUAGGGGGUGUGACCUGGUAAAUCCGGUUGCAUACUAACCCUGAGGCGUGAUGACGAUGCACUACGGUGCAGAAGUAGUUGAUGCCCUGCUUCCAGGAAAAUCCUCUAAGCUCCAGGUAACAUUAAAUCGUACCCCAAACCGACACAGGUGGUCAGGUAGAGAAUACCAAGGCGCUUGAGAGAACUCGGGUGAAGGAACUAGGCAAAAUGGUGCCGUAACUUCGGGAGAAGGCACGCUGGCAUGUAGGUGAAGUCCCUUGCGGAUGGAGCUGAAGCCAGUCGAAGAUACCAGCUGGCUGCAACUGUUUAAUAAAAACACAGCACUGUGCAAACACGAAAGUGGACGUAUACGGUGUGACGCCUGCCCGGUGCUGGAAGGUUAAUUGAUGGGGUCAGCCGCAAGGCGAAGCUCUUGAUCGAAGCCCCAGU